CGAGAUGGAAGUUGUGUGUGUGUGUGUGGGUCUGUGGCGUUGAUGUUAAAUUAUGAUUGAUGUUAUGAGCGGAAUGACGUUUCUGUUCCUGUAUAUACUGUAAGUUGAACAUGCCAUCGCUGUGUUUACCGCCCUGCCACUGCUCUUCCCAUCUGGCUCUGCAGUGCCCAACAAAUUUUUCCAUGUUCUUACGCCCUCUGAGGAUCCUGACACCUACAUCCACCGGUGUGUGCUUUCUAGUCCUGUCUUGCUGGUUGGAGAGGAAAAACUGUAAUCACUUUGUUCUGCUGAAACAUUAGUGUAACCCAGCUAGGGUUAUAUUAAGUACUGUAUCAUUUCUUUUAUUUUCAUGUAAUGGGGCAUUUAUGAGUGUGUGUGUGUGUGUGUGUGUGGAGGCUGUGUUGUGAGGCUUCUUUUUUCCUCAACCCUAAAAGCAUUGAUUUAUUUUGUUCUAAGUUAACUGUUUUGCACAUACUUUCGUUACU
This is a long non-coding RNA of Tachysurus vachellii, 485 nucleotides long. RefSeq lists it as uncharacterized. The transcript is spliced from 3 exons. The record is from RefSeq and is a predicted model, not a curated record. NCBI's taxonomy places the organism in Eukaryota, Metazoa, Chordata, Actinopteri, Siluriformes, Bagridae.